UGGGACAACGCCCGGAAACGGGUGCUAAUACUGGAUAUUCACUGGCCUUCGCAUGGGGGUUGGUGGAAAGGUUUUUCUGGUGGGGGAUGGGCUCGCGGCCUAUCAGCUUGUUGGUGGGGUGAUGGCCUACCAAGGCUUUGACGGGUAGCCGGCCUGAGAGGGUGACCGGUCACAUUGGGACUGAGAUACGGCCCAG
This 196-nucleotide ribosomal RNA is filed under the name uncultured Actinomycetales bacterium. RNAcentral describes it as "partial 16S ribosomal RNA". It matches the Rfam family "Bacterial small subunit ribosomal RNA", at positions 139 to 334 of the family's 1533-position model. Lineage: Bacteria; Bacillati; Actinomycetota; Actinomycetes; Actinomycetales. The record is from RNAcentral.